GCGGAUAUGGUUGAAUGGUAAAAUAUCUCCUUGCCAAGGAGAAGACGCGGGUUCGAUUCCCGCUAUCCGCC
RNAcentral lists this transfer RNA (71 nucleotides) under Hydrobryum floribundum. RNAcentral describes it as "tRNA-Gly". It matches the Rfam family "tRNA". From Rfam's summary of the family: Transfer RNA (tRNA) molecules are approximately 80 nucleotides in length. Lineage: Eukaryota; Viridiplantae; Streptophyta; Magnoliopsida; Malpighiales; Podostemaceae. The record is from RNAcentral. RNAcentral also lists the same sequence under 6 other names.